AAUCUCCUCUGUGCAGGUGCGCCAUGCAGUUUCUUAAAGACACUGGCCUGAAUGGCUAGGUCCAGCAUCUCUCCUGGUUGCCGCCGCCGCCAGGGAGCGGGGGAGAAGGACUGCUCAACCACCCCUCGGCUAUGAUCUCCAUUUCUGAACCGAGGCAAAAGUGUUUCAUUCCAAAGUGAAACUAUUAAUAUACAGUGGACUGCAUGAUAACCACAGAUUCAACAGUUGCUGAGCCUCUUCAUGUCAAAAACAGGCUAUAUCUGCUGGAUGUCUGCCUAUUCUGCAACUCUUUAU
Hemicordylus capensis (graceful crag lizard) is the source of this 294-nucleotide long non-coding RNA. RefSeq lists it as uncharacterized. The transcript is spliced from 3 exons. The record is from RefSeq and is a predicted model, not a curated record. Lineage: Eukaryota; Metazoa; Chordata; Lepidosauria; Squamata; Cordylidae.